Molecule: transfer-messenger RNA, 252 nt
Filed under: Wenzhouxiangella sp.
Lineage: Bacteria; Pseudomonadati; Pseudomonadota; Gammaproteobacteria; Chromatiales; Wenzhouxiangellaceae
Description: partial transfer-messenger RNA
Rfam family: transfer-messenger RNA
About the family: Bacterial tmRNA, also known as 10Sa RNA or SsrA, is named for its dual tRNA and mRNA-like properties. Its role is to liberate the mRNA from a stalled ribosome.
Source: RNAcentral
CAACUACGCACUGGCUGCAUAAACCCAGCCUGCUCUCUACCGGUUGAGCCUGCGCUUCCGAUUAGAGAUCAUUAAGUAGGAUCGCGGUCUGUCGAGUUUCGGGGCAGGCUGUUAAAUCAAACCGCAACUGGUCAACAGGUAUGCCCUGCCCCUCGGGCGGCCUGUUGAUAAGAAAAAAUCGAGCGGGCUAAGCAUGUAGAACCGAGAUCAGAUGGUUUGCGGACGCGGGUUCGACUCCCGCCGCCUCCACCA